AAAAUGCAUUUCAACAUGAGACAGGGAUACGAAUUGGCCCAAGUGUCGAAUAGAAACUAUCCAUAAAUUAAAGUAUCAAUAAACUGAAGCCAAGUCUAUCACCCAUAAAUGAAGUUAUAACCUAAACACUUCGAUUUCCAAUUCCUCAUAUUCAAAUAUAUCAAUCCACGAAACCGAAUUUCUAACAACAAAAAAAUAGAAUAUUAGACAUAUGUCCUUAAGCACAAACUGAGACUACAAUCACAAUUGCUAAGAGAAUAGGGCAUCACCAUAUUUCAAUCACGACAAUACGAAAGUAACAUCUAAAAUAAUAGAGACAAGGAGAAAAGAUGAACCUGUUUAUUCACCAUUCUUUUAAUAACAAUUGAAGAAUCAAUAGAUACAAUGUUUUUGUCCACAAUUCCAACUAAAAACAACAGUGUUGUCGAGCAAAAACAGCAAGCCAAAUCGACAUCACGAACCUCAGAUAGAUACUCGAAUUGGCACCGAAAUUUCAAAUACAAACACAAACUCAAAAUCAAACUCCAAUCAAAACUCUCUCUUUGGAAAAUGGAAAUUCGAAUCGUAUAGAAGAAACAUUUUUUUUUUUGUUUCUUUGUGAUUUUCUGAAAUUUAAAUUAAACUAAGAUCUGAAAAAUCGGAAGUAAGAAGCAGAACCCUUUCUUUUGUAAACCCUCGCUCUUACUUCUCUUUUGGCAGAGGUGGGAAUAGUAAAGAGAGAUGGUUGGUGGUCUUAGAGAAGGGGGUAAACAACAGCUCCAAGCUGGGUUCGAGGUGAAGGUUGUCUGUUUUUUUGAAGGAGCAGCGAUUGAGAGAUGAAGAAGAAGGAUCGCUCUCCCUCGCUUGGGAGCAGAUCACCCAAUUGUUUUGUGUCCCCCCUAGAUGAUAUCGCCUAGCUACAAUUAAAGAAAGGGGGAGUCGGUCAGGCGGAUUGGGUAUGGUUUUUGGGCUUGGGGU
RNAcentral lists this long non-coding RNA (957 nucleotides) under Nicotiana benthamiana. RNAcentral's name for it is "long non-coding RNA (NBEN_LNC004604)". Lineage: Eukaryota; Viridiplantae; Streptophyta; Magnoliopsida; Solanales; Solanaceae. The record is from RNAcentral.